Molecule: non-coding RNA, 4836 nt
Organism: Taeniopygia guttata (zebra finch)
Lineage: Eukaryota; Metazoa; Chordata; Aves; Passeriformes; Estrildidae
Source: RefSeq, a predicted model, not a curated record
UCCAUUCAUGAGGAAGGAUUUCAAUCCCUGGUAGUGGAUCCAGGGAUUCCCGAUCAUGAGGAAGGAUUUCAAUCCCUGGUUGUAGAUCCAGGGAUUCCUGUUCAUGAGGAAGGAUUUCAAUCCCUGGUUGUAGAUCCAGGGAUUCCCAUUCAUGAGGAAUGAUUUUCUCUGGUUGUGGGUCCAGGGAUUCCCAUUCAUGAGGAAUGAUUUCCUCUGGUUGUGGAUCCAGGGAUACCUGUUUAGGAGGAAGGAUUUCAAUCCCUGGUUGUAGAUCCAGGGAUUCCUGUUCAUGAGGAAGGAUUUCUCCUGGUUGUGGAUCCUGGGAAUGCCAGAUUCCCGGGCCACAAAGGCAUCUGGCAGAGCCUUCGGGGCAAGGAAGAAGCCAACAAAGCCAAUUCAGCAGCUGUGGUGAAAUCAGCUGUGGCCGGGUAAAAGGGAAUUAAUUCCAGCAAGGGGGAAGGGCACACCCUGAGAAACUGCCUGACCCUAAACGGGACAAGGGCACGGCAUUAAUUAGCAUGAGGAACGAGAGAAUCAUUAACCAGCAGGAGAGAGGACACUAAUUAAUAACUGGCUGAGGAGAUGACGGGAUUACGGGUUGUGGUGGGAUGGUGGCAAACAGGGACAUUCCGCAGGGAACGUGGCUCAGUGACAGUACAGAUUUUUGGGAUGUGUGGCCCCCCAAAAAUGCCCAUUAUUGGCACACCUGAGCACCACCUGUCCCCAUCCCUGCUGGGGGAUCAGCACCAAGUCCUUCCUGUGAGGAACAAGUGGGCAAAGGCACCGGUGCCUUUGGAAUAUGCACAGUCACCCAUGUGGGAGCGGGCCUGAGUCACUGUGUGACCCACUGCCUAAUUCUGAGUUAUUCCCAAAGAACCUGUGGCAAACUGAGUUAUUCCCAAAGAACCUGUGGCAAAGUGAAGCACCCACUGCCUAAUACUGAGUUAUUCCCAAAGAACCUGUGGCAAACUGAGUUAUUCCCAAAGAACCUGUGGCAGAGUGAGGCACCCACUGCCUAAUUCUGAGUUAUUCCCAAAGAACCUGUGGCAAAGUGAGGCACCCACUGCCUAAUUCUGAGUUAUUCCCAAAGAACCUGUGGCAAACUGAGUUAUUCCCAAAGAACCUGUGUCAAAGUGAGAUACCCACUGCCUAAUUCUGAGUUAUUCCCAAAGAACCUGUGGCAAAGUGAGGCACCCACUGCCGUAUUCUGAGUUAUUCCCAAAGAACCUGUGCCAAACUGAGUUAUUCCCAAAGAACCUGUGGCAAAGUGAGGCACCCACUGCCUAAUUCUGAGUUAUUCCCAAAGAACUUGUGGCAAAGUGAGGCACCCACUGCCUAAUUCUGAGUUAUUCCCAAAGAACCUGUGGCAAACUGAGUUAUUCCCAAAGAACCUGUGGCAAAGUGAGGCACCCACUGCCUAAUUCUGAGUUAUUCCCAAAAAAAUUGUGGCAAAGUGAGGCACGGCAGCAGCACAGGGCCCGAUUCUGGGAGAAGGGCAGGAUCUUGGAAGUCCAACAUAAAUCAUUGCAGCAUUCCUGAAAGCUUCCUGUAUGAUUCAGUGAUAUUUCCCUGCCCACUCACCUCGAAUUUCAGGGGCCACAUUCCUUUCCUCAGCUGUAAUACCAAAGUGUAAGAUUCAGAGACACCAAUGUUUCAUUGGCACAUAUGAAAACAGUAUUUUUUAGCACCUUUUAUACAGAGUUUGUAUUCUUAUAUUGGAAUUUAAUUGAAUUAUACAUUUGAAUAAUUAGAAAAUAUUAUUAUUUAUUAAAUUUUUAUUUGGAGAACACACUGAUCUUCCUACAAAAAUUUAGUGCUUCGUUUUUGUCAUGAAAACAGCUCGUAUUUUUGGAACAUUUUGUACUUCAAAACAUUGGUUUUUAAAUCAGCUGUGACGGCCUGGGGCUAUCAAAGCUUCUUUGUCGGGUUUUUUGAUUCUGAAAUUCCAUCAAAUCAGCCAGGUUGGAGGAGGCCUUUCAGCUCAACACCUUGAAAUGGAUGGGCUGUGGCUGAGGAAGCGGUGGAGGUCCAAGGAGUGGAUCUCCUGCCCGGCUGUUCCGUUCCCCUUCCCGGUUUUCCAGGCUUUUUCCAGGGAUUCCGGCUGUCUGCAGGGGGCACAGUUGCCUCACAUUCCCGGCCACCCUUUGCCAUCCCAAUCCGGCUGCUGGGAAUCACCUCCUGCCAGAUUUUUAAGACAAAAUGCAGAGUCUUUCCCGAGGUCUAAAUUCACUAAUUGCAUCGAAACUUCUAAUUUCAUUUAAUGACUCAGAGCGAGAACAUUCAUUGGUUUAAUUGCCUUAAAAGAGGAAUUAUGAACCCAUUAGUGCAGGAAGGCACCAAACACUGAUGUUGUCUGGCCAAAGUGGGAAUUUGUAAUGGAUCCUGGUUAAUUCCAGAGUUUUGGCUUUCAUUAACUCCACACAUCCCACGUGGUGCAGCAGUCAGAGCAGCUGGGCGUGGAAAAAAAGGGAUUGCUCCUCCAUUUCCAUAGGUUUUGUCCCUCAAAUCAAAUUAUACUCAUCUCUGUGGAGCUUUGCUCUGUUCUUUACUUGGACAUGGUGGGACCACGCAUCCAAAACCACCUGGAAAGGAAGGAUUGGGAAGGGCUUUCUGCUGAGUCUGAGCCUCCCAGGUCCAAGGAGUUGUGGAGAACAUCCAGUUGAGAAGCACCUGCAGAACUGCUUUGGGUGACACCACAGCCAAAGCCACAAUUCCCAAAGUAAAAAUCGCACAGGAAAUGGUAAAAUCAACAACAAUACAGAAAGAAAAAGAAAAUAUCAGGGCACUGAGUAAUGGAGGAACAAGCUAUUCCUUAAGGAGAAGCAAGAAGCAGGAGAGGACAGCAAAAUGAUGUGAAAAGAAGCUGUUUCCAGAGCUGUAUUUGCAGCCUCUGGCUCUGGGAAUCUCUGUCUCCCUGAGCAGUCUGUGCCCCCGUGUCCCAGCUGUGUUACCAUCAUUAGGCCCAGCUGCCUGCACCGUGUCCAGUCCCUGAUGGAUCCAGGGGCUUUGUAGGAAAUCUUUGCUCCCCCUCCUCCCUGCCCUGCCCCACAUCCAGGGGCCAACUCAGCUUUCCCAGUUUCUGUGUUACAAAAUGUUGUCAUAAUAUUUAAUCUCCAGCCUUGGCCUCGGCAGCAGCUGUUUGAAAGGACAAUUUAUAUUCCCCAAAGUGCUUUGAAAGCCCUCGGGAAGCUCCCAAGAAGCUUUUUCCUGGUGCACAGAAGCAGCUUGUCCAGGCUUCCAGCUUUGUUUUGUGCCUGGCUGGAUCCUCUGGAUUCCUCCAGCUGCCCUCUCGUUUAUUUUGUGGUUUGCUGGAAUAUUUAUUCCCUGUUUUUUACGCUGCUCUCUCCGUGUGGGAGUCACAAAACGGAUGGAACAGAGAAAUGCCCAAAGUGAUUCCAUGGAAAGCAUUCCAAGAUGGGAGCGAGGAGCUGCUGUGAUGUUCUGGAAGGAUGGGAUUCCUCUUCCUUACAGUAGCUGCCACAGAGGAAAUGAAUCCUAGAUUUUCCCCACUUCCAUGCACAGCACCCACCCAGGGUCUACAUCCAGAUUUCUCCCAAAUGCAGAGAGACAAUUCCAGUGGCAAAAGCCCUGGCUGAUGGACACUGCCUGGGAGUCUUGGCAUGUCCUAAAAAACAGCCUCAGCCAGGGCAGGGUGGUGCCAGCAGGGAGCCAAAGCCGGGAUAAAGCUGCGGGCUCAGUGUCCUUUCAGCGGGAUCGUUCCCCUGUGAAUGGAAAGUGCCGGAACGCCGCUUUGCAUCUCGUUAUCCGCACAUCCAGACAGCGUGUGACAGUGGAUUGGAGAGUGAAUGUGCCACCUCUCCAAAGACAUUGGACAAACCACUAGUACAUCAAGUUUCUCCACCCCCAUGAAGGAAUGCAAAACAAUAUGUUAUUUACAGAAAUUGUGUGGGUAAGUUUUUCAACAGAAUGUAAAUUUAGAAGGCUUUAGAAAAACUUAAGAAUCAGGGUGACACAAAUGCUCACCCUCAGCUCCUGAUCCCUUCAAGCAUUCAUUUCCCCACCUGUGGGGAUGCAGCUGCUCCUCAGCAGGGCCAGGGCUGCUGGGUGUCCCUGGGUGCUCCUGGGUGCCCAGCUGGCAGCACCUUUACAGCUCCAUCUGAUGAAUGAGCCCUGAGAAGAGCCUCUGUCCCACUUCCUCUUCCAUCCUGGUGCUGGGGAUGCAGCAGGGAGCUGGCAAAGGCUCCCCGUGGCCACGGAAAUGCCAAAUAAACAGCGUGGACAGGCAGCUGCCACCUCCAGAGCUGCAGCCAGCCCUCACACCCCAUUAGGCCACGGAACAAAAGCACAAAUCUGGUGGUUUGGCCACUGGCAAUUUUCAUUUUUCUGCAGAAAAAGCUUCUGGCAUUUGUUAAAAAAGGGGGAGAAAAAAUAGCAGAGGGAAGAGGGCCAAAGGAUUUGAGGACUUGUUUAAAUAAUGGAAAAGCUGCUGCUGCUGGUUUUGUUUAUGUCAUCAAAAAAGGGCACAGCUUUGAAGUUACUCAUGAGCAACCACAGUGUUGGCUUAUAAAAGCAGCAGAGCUGUGAUGCUGCUGGGUUUGCACCUUUCCAGAGCAGAGCAUCCAAACAGGCUGAUCCUCACUCCCUGCUUCCAGCCCAGGGCUGCUGGCCUUACAGCCAGCUGAUGAUUGUUGAUUUUUAAUACAGAAAAAACAAGAAUCUUAAUAUUUCUCUCCCCCAAAAUAUUUAUUGUGCUACAGCUUCUUCCUAUGUCAUGGAAUGCCAUGGGAAAUCCAAUCAAGGACAACUGUCCUGGCUGUCCCCAAGCUGUGACACCUCCUCCAGCUACCAGGACUAGUAAAUUGAUAUUUAAAAACA